UACGGGGGGGGCAAGCGUUGUUCGGAAUUACUGGGCGUAAAGGGUUCGUAGGCGGCCAACUAAGUCAGACGUGAAAUCCCUCAGCUUAACUGGGGAACUGCGUCUGAUACUGGUUGGCUUGAGUGCAGGAGAGGAACGCGGAAUUCCAGGUGUAGCGGUGAAAUGCGUAGAUAUCUGGAGGAACACCGGUGGCGAAGGCGGCGUUCUGGACUGCAACUGACACUGAGGAACGAAAGCCAGGGGAGCAAACGGG
RNAcentral lists this ribosomal RNA (253 nucleotides) under uncultured bacterium. RNAcentral describes it as "partial 16S ribosomal RNA". It matches the Rfam family "Bacterial small subunit ribosomal RNA", at positions 524 to 776 of the family's 1533-position model. The record is from RNAcentral.